Molecule: ribosomal RNA, 869 nt
Filed under: uncultured Massilia sp.
Lineage: Bacteria; Pseudomonadati; Pseudomonadota; Betaproteobacteria; Burkholderiales; Oxalobacteraceae
Description: bacterial SSU rRNA
Rfam family: Bacterial small subunit ribosomal RNA
Source: RNAcentral
UAGAGUUUGAUCCUGGCUCAGAUUGAACGCUGGCGGCAUGCUUUACACAUGCAAGUCGAACGGCAGCGCGGGGCAACCUGGCGGCGAGUGGCGAACGGGUGAGUAAUAUAUCGGAACGUACCCAAGAGUGGGGGAUAACGUAGCGAAAGUUACGCUAAUACCGCAUACGAUCUAAGGAUGAAAGCAGGGGAUCUUCGGACCUUGUGCUCCUGGAGCGGCCGAUAUCUGAUUAGCUAGUUGGUGAGGUAAAGGCUCACCAAGGCCACGAUCAGUAGCUGGUCUGAGAGGACGACCAGCCACACUGGAACUGAGACACGGUCCAGACUCCUACGGGAGGCAGCAGUGGGGAAUUUUGGACAAUGGGCGAAAGCCUGAUCCAGCAAUGCCGCGUGAGUGAAGAAGGCCUUCGGGUUGUAAAGCUCUUUUGUCAGGGAAGAAACGGUGAGGGCUAAUAUCCCUCGCUAAUGACGGUACCUGAAGAAUAAGCACCGGCUAACUACGUGCCAGCAGCCGCGGUAAUACGUAGGGUGCAAGCGUUAAUCGGAAUUACUGGGCGUAAAGCGUGCGCAGGCGGUUUUGUAAGUCUGACGUGAAAUCCCCGGGCUCAACCUGGGAAUUGCGUUGGAGACUGCAAGGCUAGAAUCUGGCAGAGGGGGGUAGAAUUCCACGUGUAGCAGUGAAAUGCGUAGAGAUGUGGAGGAACACCGAUGGCGAAGGCAGCCCCCUGGGUCAAGAUUGACGCUCAUGCACGAAAGCGUGGGGAGCAAACAGGAUUAGAUACCCUGGUAGUCCACGCCCUAAACGAUGUCUACUAGUUGUCGGGUUUUAAUUAACUUGGUAACGCAGCUAACGCGUGAAGUAGACCGCCU